Molecule: transfer RNA, 105 nt
Filed under: Boletus reticuloceps
Lineage: Eukaryota; Fungi; Basidiomycota; Agaricomycetes; Boletales; Boletaceae
Rfam family: tRNA
About the family: Transfer RNA (tRNA) molecules are approximately 80 nucleotides in length. Their secondary structure includes four short double-helical elements and three loops (D, anti-codon, and T loops).
Source: Rfam by way of RNAcentral
GCCCGCUUGGCUCAGUUGGUUAGAGCGCAGGUCUCAUAUCUUACGUAUGAGUAACUUUGUAGUUACGCAAUCCUGAGGUCGCAAGUUCGAACCUUGCAGCGGGCA